Molecule: long non-coding RNA, 855 nt
Organism: Dreissena polymorpha
Lineage: Eukaryota; Metazoa; Mollusca; Bivalvia; Myida; Dreissenidae
Exons: 3
Source: RefSeq, a predicted model, not a curated record
GCAAAUAGUACACCUAUGAAUGUCCUAAUAGCAAAACGCAUAAUAACUGUUAAGAUUUGCCUUUUCAAAGAAAAAAAAAUAUACGCCUGUUACUAGUAUACAUGUAUAAUCUAUUAAAUCUAUCUGUCUUUACAGUAUCGUACAUAUUUUUUAAAUGAGUACGAUUACUAAAUUAUUGUUUAUAAUAUAAAUAUCCAAAUUGUAAAAAUAACGCUCUAAGUGUUAAUAGUUCGGCUUAUACACCAUGCUACAUGGCAUCUUUUCAUUUAAAACAAAUUUUGUUUUCAUUCUAUGUUUAUAUGUUGAUAAAAUGCAAAGUUUAACUACCUAAAUAAAUCAAUGGCCCCAUUUCUAUCUUCCUAUUUAACACAACUUAGAAUAAAAUGAUUUUUAUACUUUACUUGGAAGCAGUUAAAUGGGCCAAUUGAAGAUUCCUCACAUAAUAAAAAAAAGAUUGCUAUAGCUUCACAAGAUCCAUAAUCAAUUAUUGAUUCUAUAAUUUCAGAUCAUUCUCUUCCUGUCAUGGGACCUGCCAACUAUUGUACUGAAUACAUCCAAUACACUUGUAUACAUGUAUAUUUAUUAAUUGCUGAUGUUGAUCGGUCUCCUCUUCUUGCUUACGGUGUUGUUCGGCAACAGAACCACCACCACUACCGGUGGAAUCACCAUCGUCAACGCUUCUGCUUCCGGUUAAAUAAAUGUCCCAUCAAAGUUUGAACUUCCCGUCAUCUUUCAAUUGAAAUAUCUCAACUUGAUCAUCCCCUCAUUCGUCUUGAACCAGGCGCUAUACUCGGGAAUUUCCCCGCCCAGUCGACUCUCUUUCAGACAUCAACCAUAGCUUCGAGCAGUUAUUAC